UAAUGAAUAUGUUUCAUUCUUUUGACAAAUAUAAUUUUUAUGGUUAAUAGAUUAAUUAUCAUAUAUAAGCAUAUAAGAAAACAAAUGAUACAUUUCUCCACAAUGGCUCUAAAAUUUGCACUCUAUUUUCUGCUUUACAUUAGAAGUUUUUUCAAAUUAUAACCCCAUAAAAGAACUGUCUUUAAUUUCUUCUCUGUGACGUAGAUUAAAUUCUUUAGAAAGAGGAUAUUUCAAACCACUAGUUAGUUUUGUUAUAUUAAAGUUCUCAGAUUUUGUAGAGUGUUGAUUUUAUACACAUUCUUAACCUUUACUUACGGAAAAUAAUGAUUUACUGUAGUAGGGAAUGUAGGAAUUUCUUGGAGAAACAAAUUUUUAGGAGGAAAUUUUUGACAUGUGAAAUCUUAAAAUACUGUCUCUUAAACAGGUAGACAGAGACAGACAGUACCUUUUGUGAGUGCUUUGUUCCCUCCUCUACCAGGAACUGGAGCAGGAUGUCAACAUUCUCUAUGAAAAUUAUCGAAGAUAUGCCACUAUCAUUUUCAUUUCUUACUCUAGAUCUAAAAUGAGCUAGUGUCUGUUGGGGCUCAUGGCAGGCCACCCCCAAAAUAUGCCACAAUAGCAUAUUGAUUAUUUUGAAUUAAAGUUACUUAAGAAAUAGCCAGUGCAAGAGGGACAUAGAACCUCCUUUCUGUCUCACUGAAGCAGAAAGUAAGUCUUGUGAAAGGUGCACUCCCUCCAUCUGCAGAUAGAAGGGCACCCUUAUUGCCAGAGAUAGGGAAUUUGAACCAAGAAGUCUGUAUAAACAAACCUUGUUACUUCUUUAAUUUACUACCCCAAGUACAAACUGUGUUUAGAUUCUUCACUAAUUAAGCACCCAGAACCUUAAGUUGCUUUGUCCUGUCAACUCUCAAAUUUAUUGUUUUUAUUUUUCAUCUACAAAGUAUAAAAGUUGCCUGUUUUGACCACUUUUUAGGUUCCAUUUCUAUGAGACCUCAAGUGUGCACAAAUUAAAAUUUGUUUCUUUUUCUUCUGUUAAUCUGUCUUGUGUCAAUUUUAGUAUUAGUCCAGACAAAGAACUCAAGAAGAGUACAGGUGGAAAUUUUUUCCUCCAUGACAUACCCAACUGUGCCAGAUAGGGAGUUAAAUAAAUUUGUGCUGAGGGAAAGCAUUUGAAAUCUUUCUUUUUUUUUUAAUUUUACAUUUUCCUUCCCUAUUUUCUUUUUUUAAGGGAGGUGGUAAUUAGGUUUAUUUAUUUUCACAGAGGUACUGGGGAUUGAACCCAGAACCUUGUGCAUUCUAAGCACGCACUCUACCACUGAGCUAUACCCACACCCCACUAAAAUCAUUUCUCCAUACAGUUGACCCUUGAACAAUGCUGACCCUCCACACAGUUGAAAAUUCAUCUACAAUCGUCCCUUAGUAUCCAUGGAAAGUUGGUCUAGGAAGCGUGCAGAUACCAAAAUCCAAGGAUUCUCAAGUCCCAUAGUUGGCCCUCAGUAUCCACAGUAUCCAUGCAUUCAGCCAAGCAGAUUGAGUAGUACUGUAUUUAUGGAAAAAAAAUCCCUGUUUAAGUGGACCUGUCCAGUUCAAAUCUGUGUUCUUCAAGGGCCAACUAGCUGUAUACUUAAAUGUUUUUCCACUGCCCAAAUCACUUACAUUCUUACACUUAGAUUUUUUUAGGUUAUGCCCUUUCUACCCUUUUGGAUACUUUGCCUAUAUUAUAUCCUUUUGAAAAUAGACUUUAAAUGUGUGCAUAUUACUCAGCCAUCUCCCCCUUAAGUAAUUUGGAUGGUAUUUGAGUCUUUUUUUUUUUUUUUUUAACAGAGAGGGCCACUGGGUUUACCUAAAUUUUAAAAUACCCUCACCACAGGGUAUCUAAUGUUACAUAAUCCCGCCCCCCACCUUUCUUGUUUCUCUCAUUCCUCACUAAUGUGAUUAUAAUCUUUAGAAAUGCUGUGUGUUUGACAGUACAUUUCCACAUUUGUGUACGUUAAUAUACUGCUAGGGUUUGACUCACUGAAGCAGGUACGCGUGUCAGUGUUUGGACUCAUUCGCCUUGGGUACUUUGGAGUCAGCUGCAAAAUUAUAUUGGUAGACUUUGCAUAAACAUAACUAUUGGCAUGAGAACUUCCACAGUAAAUCAUUUUUAAUAUGUUCCCUAAGAAUCUGAGGGAAAAUCUUGGGGGGAAAUCUAUGAAAAUGACCAGUAUUUGUUAAAAUAUGUUGUUAUACUUUCCUUAAGAAGAAGAAAAGCCUACAGUUAGUUUAGUAAACACUUGAGUAACUGUUGUAUUCCAGGCACUAUAUUGAGUGUUUGAAGCACAAAGAUAAGUUAGAAAGUGCUUGCCUUCGAAAAUGUCCAGUGGCAGAGCCAGAAACAGAUUAUUGUAGCAUAAUAUUUAAAAAAAUUAUACAGGGUACUAGGCUGGCAUGGUGUUCAGUAUUGCUCAUAUGUGAGAUGGAAAUUGGCAGGAGGAGAAUUUGGAAAGUUUGCAGAAGCAGGGAUAAUAGGGGGCCCUACAUACUUUCGUAGGUAACUUGGGCCUAAUUUAUGUUCCUUAGUAUGCCAAGGCUUGUAGUGUGAUCCGUUUUGGAUUCUGUAUAAAUCAUUGGCUAAAAAUUAAGAGAAUAGAUUUAAGGAGAGGGACGAAGAUUGGAAUCAGAGGCAUAGAGUUUAAACUAACAGGGAUAAAGAAAGGACAAAUUCAGGAAAUAUUUAGAAGAUUAAAUCACAGGACUUCAUUGGUUUGAGUGAGAACAAGAACUUUAGUUUGAUGUGUAUGUGUGUGUGUGUGUGACUAGAUGACAAUACCAUUAAUUGUCAUCAAAUAUAAGAAGGGGAAAAUGUAUAUGUAGGCAGAUGGUAGAUGGCAAAAUUUCAAUCUGAAACUCAAGAAAGUGCCUGGAGAUGGAAAUUUGGGAAUGAUCAUCAUCCAGUGACUUUUUUUUUUUUUUUUUUGCAUUAGAACAUUCGAUUAGAAUAAUGAUCCUAUAUUACAUCACUCAAGAGGAGGGGAAAAAAGAGCAUUGGACCAAGGAAGGAAUCUUAGAGAAUAAUCAUUUAGUGGGGUGAUGGAGCAGGGUCCGAAGUAAGAGGAAACCAGAACAGUUGGUAUGCUUUUCUUCAAGAGCAAUGUGGUACUGUUACCCGCAUUUCACUCGUAAGGAGAGUGAAGCCCAGGAUGGUUGGGUAGAUGGCCCAUGUCCAUGUAACUGAUAAGCAGGGGAGCUAGAAUCAAACCCAGGCCAUCUGGCUCCAGAGCUCAGUAACCAGCAAUUCCAGAUGCUAGAGAUUUAACAAACCAAGGCUUAAAAAUAUGCGUUACCCUGACCUUUUCAAGAGUACUUUCAGAUAAAUACUAAAGCCAGUUUUCUGGAGUUUGAGGGGAGAAAAUUUAGACUAGUUCUGGAAGCUUCACUGAGAUGGGAAAGAGUAAAAUAGCAAUAUAAAACUUAGUGGGGUGAAGUGUUGUAUUGUGAAAGGUUACAAAAAGCCAAGGAAGUUUUUGACAAAAUGUAGUAGUUGAAUAGCUUUAAGAACCUUAAAGUGUCAACUGCAGAAUUCUUAAGGAAUUCAAAGCAAAACUAUCUAGCCAUCACUGUAUCUGAAUGCUAUUUUUCAUGAGGCAUUUACAAGAUGCUUGGGAUAUAUCAGGUUUUCUUGGGGAAAGGUAUAAAAUUACCAUCAAAUCCUCAGAGCUGAUAGGUUUACUCCCAGUUUUACAUAGCUUCCAGCACUUACCAAGGCCUUAGCCAGCACCAUCUCUAAUGUCUCCUAAGACUUACCUGCUUCAGAAUCCUUUCUCUCUCAAUAGAGACCAGUUGCAUGGUGUAGAAGACCAAUCACAACUCAACUACACCAAUGUGAAAUUACAGAGAAACUUGUUUCAUUCUAAAUAAUCCUCAGUGAUCAGAAAUUAAUGAAAAAAUUCAAAUGAAACAAGUGGAAACUGAACCCUUAACGUAAAGGGAUGAGUGAGGGCUUUUCUGUAAUCUUACUUACAAUGAUGAUGACCUGUAACAGUUUAAAAUUGUGUGGGGCUGUUCUCUAUCAGUUAACUUCUUACUCAGUUAUUAAAGUGCUUGCUAUGGAAAAAAGAAAAGUAACGGGAAACGUGCUUCCCCUCGGAGCACUUGCCCUGUUACAACCUCGGGCAAUGAAAUGUGUACAUGUAUUAAAAUUUGAAAGCUAUUUUCAAGAAAUAGUUGCCUAACAAUUCAUUUAGAGCACCUAGAGGCUAGUGAUGUGAAUUCAGAACUCUGGUACACCAGCCCUGUGACUUUGAGCAAGUUAGUUAUUUAACCUAGCUAACUCAUUAUCUUCCAUUCUGGAAAACGAGGAUAGCAAGUCCCGCCUGCAUAGAAUAGCUGUGUGGAUUAAGUGUGAUAAUCUGUGUAAAGUGCCUACCACAGUGUAGGGUACAUAAUAUGAACUCAGUGUUUACCUAUUAUCAAUACAGAAGUAAUUAAUACUCAGGAACAUCUUAAACAGAACCUAAGGGAGAAUCUCUCUCUUUCCUUCCUGGUUCAAGUUUGGAACAAAUGUUUCAAAGAAGUAUGUGACAUUCAGUUCUCUAUUCUGCAACUUCAAAAUAGCCUAAAAUAUCCCAAUUGCCUACACAUGCAGAAUCUAUAAUGGACAGUCUGCUAUGCAUUCUUUUGAAUUCUCAUUUUUGUCAAACAAGAGACUCUUUCCCAAUGUAUUUAGUGUGUGUAGAACAGAGAAGCCUUGUAACCAUUGUCAAGGACAACCAAGGGAGUGAGUUGAAGGUUAGGAGCUUGUUGCUCAUCAGCUCAUGUUACAGAAUUCUUUUUAUAUCUUUUGAAUGUUCCUUCUAGUUGGGCAUUUUUUUUCCCAUCAAAAUCAAGCUAAAAUAAGAAGGUAGAGUGAUGCUUGUGGUUUAAUGUUUUUCCAAAAUAGAAUAAGCAAGAAUACACAGUCAUUGCAAGGGAUAUGCUGCUUGAAUGGAUUGCUUUAAGCAAAGGAAUAAAUUUUCUAUCCUAAUCUUCCACCAGUACUCUUUCCUAAAACUAGCUGAGAAAGUAAGUUUUCCCACUUUAUGUGGGAAAUACACACACACACACACACAUAUAUAUGUAUACCCAAAUGCAUCCCACAUCUUCCUCUUCUGAAUUGCCCUAGAAUGUAAAACCCUCUAGGUACCAAUCACUGAGAUCAUUCAAAGUACUGGUUCAAGGAGGCUUCCUUUAAAAAUCUAUUCAAAGCAUUCUAGCCCUUUAAGUCCCUUUUUACUUACUUCCCUUAAGGAUCAAAUUGACCCAUCUAGGGACACUCUGAGUUUAGAGCAACCAAAAGAGUAUUGGUUAAUUAUAUGGAUUCUUUUAAAUAUAUAACUAGACCAUUUUAUAACAUUGAAUUAAAACUCAUGGAUAAAAUGUUAAAUGACUUCUUUUCAGAUUCAGAGGUUUUUAUGCAAUAAGAUACGUAGAAUUGAUUUUAUCAAAUCAUGUCAUGAGAUGUUCUCAUCACAUUCAGUGCUCAUUUCAUUUUACAGAAAAAAAUAAACAUUUAAAUUUGUUAUAAAAAAUUUUGUAUAUAGACUUUAAAGUUUGCAGGUGAGCAGAAAGGCUCGGUAAAUGUCUUCAUGUAUGUCUAAGGAAUACUUCAUUCCUAACGCAUUGUCCUGGACCAGAGAGAGCUCUCUCUGUAUAUUAUACACCAGACAAGUCCCUUUUUGAGGAUAUAAUUUCUACUAUCUUUGGAGUGUAUAGAACACAACUUUGAAGUUGUUUUAGCUAUAGAAAAAAUAAAAGUGAUGGCGUGAUGUACUGGAAAGAGGACUAUAUCAGGAGCUUAAAAAGCUGGUUCUGCUAAUAACUGAUUCUUCAGUUUCAUUAAGUGAUUAUUAAAGUGUGACUAUGUGUUCUUCUGUAGUCAUUCUUAGGAAUUUUCUGCAAGGGGGCAUUUGUCACCAUUGUUCACCUUGCCUCAAUUAAGGAGGGUCCAUACCAUUCUUUUAAAAUUACUAUUAUUUAAUUUUUGAAUAGGCAAUACAUGGCUCAAAAUUCAAAAUGUAGAAAAAAAUUAUUCAAAGAAAUCUCCUUAUUUUUGACUGUCAGUCACACAGCUUUGCUGUCACAGACAUCUAAUUUGUUAGGGGUGUGCCUGCAUGUGCGUGUGUGUGUGUGUGUGUAUGUUCAUGUGUCCUUUUUCAGAGACAUUUUAAGCAUGUAGAGAGAAUAAAUAUAUUCAUUCUUUCCCACCAUUUGUACACAAACGAUGGCAUGCAGUCCAUACCACUUUUCACCUGGAUUUUUAUUUAACGUUUAUUUUGGAGACCUUUCUAUAUCAAUCCACAGAGAGUUUCUUUUUUUAUUUUUUUAAACAUCUGAAUGGUAUUAUAUUGUAUAGAUAUAACCAUUUAUUUAACCAGGGCUUUAUUAAUGGAUACUGAAUUAUUUCCAGUUGUUUCCUAUCCCAAACAAUACUGUUGUGAAAAACCAUGUUCACUUUGUAUUUCUCUUGUGUCAAGUAUAUCUUGAGAGGUCACAAGCAUGAGCCUGGAUUCUGGAGACAGUACUGCUGGGGUUUGAAGUCUGGCUGCACCACUUACUAGCUGUGUAUUCUUGAGCCUGUUACUUAACUUCUCUGUGCCUCAAGUGUCUCAUCAGUAAGAACUCAGACUAUUGUGAAAAUUCAAUAAAUCUCCCUAUGUAGACUACUUGGAAAGGUGCCUGACAAACAGUAAAUGCUGUAAGUACUAGUUGCUGCUACUACUGCUAUUAUUAUCAUCAAUAUCUUUAGGAUACAUUUCCGGUUAUGGAACUAAUAAAUCAAAGAUAAAAUACAUUUAUAGUUUUGAUACAUAUUGCCAAAAUGGUCUUCAGUCGAGACUCCACAAAUUUACAUUGCCAGCAGUGAUGUGUGAAUAGAAUGUCUAUUUCCCCACAUUCAUACCAAGAAAGUACUUAAAAUUUUUUAAUCUGAUGAGUGAAAACUGUUAUCACAGUGUAGUUUCAAGUUACAUAUCAUUUUAAGUGAUGGGAGGGUAACAUGGUUUCAUGAGUCUUUUGGAUUUCCUUUGGUGUGAAAUACAUGCUUAAUUCCUUUGCCCAUUUUAUUUGAAACCAGGAUUUUGAAUUUGUCAUAUGAAUUUGGAGCUCUUUAUAUAUUAAAUAAAUUAGCUCUGUGUUAGUGAUAGGACUUGCAGAUAUUCUAAAAUAGUCUUUAUCUUUUGACCUAGCUUUUGGUGGAUGAGCCACUCAUAAUUUUUAUUUAUUUAUUUUUUACAGAGCUGAUUUGAUCAAUCUUCUCUUUUAAGGAUUCUGGAUACUAUGCCAUAUUUAGAAAGUCAACUUUUGUGAAUGUUUUAUUGAAGAAGAUACAACUCAAGAUUUAUUUCUGUUUUUGGAGGACAGAGUUAAUAAGUAUAUGUAUCAAUUUUUAGCAUCAUGGUUUAGAGUACAGACUCUGGAACUAGACCAACAGGAUCCAAAUCCCAGAUUCAUUACUGGAAUGUUAUGCAAAUUGCUUAUAUUUUCUAUGCCUCAGUUUCCUCAUCUGUAAAUGGCUAUAAUGAUAACAUCUGUCUCUUAGGGUUGAUGCAGGGAUUAAAUGAACUAAUAUGUGCAAAGCAUUUAGAAUAGUAUCUAGAAUGAAAUAAGCACCGUAUAUAUAUUAGCAGUUAUAAUUAUUUAGAUUGACCUGGUUAAUUUUUUAGUUCCUCUAGAGCAGCACUAUUUAAAUUAAAUAUAGCACAGUCACAUAUGCAAUUUAAAGUUUUAUGGUAGCUAUGUUAAGAAAGUGAAAAAGUCAUUUUUAAUGGUAUAUUUUAUUUAACCCAUUAUAUCAACAAUGUUAUCAAUAUGUAAUCAAUAUACAGAAUUUUUUAAUGACAUAUUUUUCUUUCUUUGUUGUGCACUAUCUUUGAAAUCUGGCAUGUUUUGUAGCUAUAGCAUACUUCAGUUUGGACUAACCACAUUUCAAGUGCUCAAUAGUCAUAUGUGGUCAGUGGCUACUAUACCGAUGACAAAUUCUAGCUACUUUUUUUGUGUGUACUUAGUGCUUGGUAUAUCAUGAGCUGAGUAGGUGAAAAUAAAUAUCUUAUACCAUUCA
Long non-coding RNA from Camelus dromedarius (Arabian camel), 8077 nucleotides. RefSeq lists it as uncharacterized. Lineage: Eukaryota; Metazoa; Chordata; Mammalia; Artiodactyla; Camelidae. The record is from RefSeq and is a predicted model, not a curated record. The transcript is spliced from 2 exons.